This 253-nucleotide ribosomal RNA is filed under the name uncultured bacterium. Its description in RNAcentral is "partial 16S ribosomal RNA". It matches the Rfam family "Bacterial small subunit ribosomal RNA", at positions 524 to 776 of the family's 1533-position model. The record is from RNAcentral.
UACGGAGGGGGCUAGCGUUAUUCGGAAUUACUGGGCGUAAAGCGCACGUAGGCGGCUUUGUAAGUUAGAGGUGAAAGCCCGGAGCUCAACUGCGGAAUAGCCUUUAAGACUGCAUCGCUAGAACGUUGGAGAGGUAAGUGGAAUUCCGAGUGUAGAGGUGAAAUUCGUAGAUAUUCGGAAGAACACCAGUGGCGAAGGCGACUUACUGGACAACUGUUGACGCUGAGGUGCGAAAGCGUGGGGAGCAAACAGG